GGGGGUGCAUGGAUUCGACGGGGGUAUUGAAGCGCGGAUUGCCUGCAGAGGUGCCGUCAACCUUCUUAAAACAGGCGGCAAAACACAAACGCUAACUCAAAUUUAGCGCUGGCAGCUUAAGCUGUCACGUUCCCCGGUCUUCGCCUUCGAGGCCGGCUGAACGCCAUUAGAAGGCUGGCUAUCUGAACUGUGCUCCAGGGUUCAGAGGCGAGAAAGUUCUUGAGCUAGCUUGACCGGAUUUCGUCCGUGAAAGCCAGUCGGGUGAAGCCUUAAUCACGGGCUAGGCAGGUAGUAAUCUUCGUGAAUGUACUUUCGGACGCGGGUUCGAUUCCCGCCACCUCCACCA
Candidatus Firestonebacteria bacterium GWA2_43_8 is the source of this 346-nucleotide non-coding RNA. NCBI's taxonomy places the organism in Bacteria, Candidatus Firestoneibacteriota. The record is from Rfam.